This is a non-coding RNA of Salvia hispanica, 1179 nucleotides long. The record is from RefSeq and is a predicted model, not a curated record. Lineage: Eukaryota; Viridiplantae; Streptophyta; Magnoliopsida; Lamiales; Lamiaceae.
GUUCAAUGUUCCAAAGGUGCCAACAGAUGAUGUCACUCAAGGCGGCCAGUAAUUCAACUGAGGAGUCAAUUCUUCACCCCCCUUCCCACUCUGUUUAAAUUGUUGGGGCUAAUUCCUUUCAAGAAGGUAGAAUUUACCCCUGGAGAUUUCUAUAUACAAGGAAGAGGCCUUUGAAUUCUGAGGUACUAACUCUAUUGGAUACUUAUAUAUGACGAAGUAAGUAUUAUAGUGUUAAUUGCAAUUGAACAGGACAGCUCUUUUUUGCCUCCAACAAUUUCACAUAUAAAUAAGUUCAAGAGUGCGUCUUCUGGAAAUGAAAAUAAUGGUGAAAAUGAAGAAUCAGUUUCUGAGAAUGACCUUGACAAUGUUGUAGGUGUGACUGACAUAUCUGAGUUAGAGGAAAUGGAGCCUCCCAGUACCCUACUAUGCGAACUUCACCCUUACCAGAAGCAAGCUCUCAGCUGGAUGAUCCAACUUGAGAGGGGGCACUGUGGGGAUGAGGCUACAACAACCAUGCACCCAUGUUGGGAUGCUUAUCAACUUGCUGACAGGAUCCAUAGUGGAAUCCAGCAGUUGAAGAACAAACAGUCAUGCAGAUUCAUCGCAUUGGACAAACUAACAAAGUUGUAAUCAAAAGGAUACCGAGGAGAGAAUGUAAGCAGAGAAUGAUAUCUGGUGCUCUAACUGACCAAGAAGUGUGAACUGCGCGAAUAGAGGAACUAAAAAUUCUCCCAACUUAGAUGAGGCUUAUGACUUAUGCAUCUAACAGUUCAAAAUCCCAGGGGACCUCUCCUGCAGAUUUCCCGAUUGGAUUCUGGUUUGUUGAGGAAUAUUAUUCCAAGCGAUAACAUGUUCCCUUAGACGAUGUUGGGAUACAUGGGAGCUAGUGGGAAGUUGAAGCAUGUAGAGUAUGGUUUAGGGAGGAGUUAUUACAAAAAUGGCGAAUGCUUUCUGAUGAACAAUCACUGCUUUCAACAAGGAGAACAGGUGAAUUUCCAUUAUUCGAUGGAACAGGAGACAUAAAAAUAUGUUGUUAUAAAAAUAAAUUUUAAUAGUAUUAUAUGGUGGGAGUAAAUCUCCCCACAUGGUAUUACUAUUUGUCUUGAAUGGAGACAGUAGAGUACUCCUUGUAAGUUCAUGAGUUGUAUGAAUAUGUGCCAAGCGUGCUUAGUUAGUUGA